Onychostoma macrolepis is the source of this 497-nucleotide long non-coding RNA. RefSeq lists it as uncharacterized. The record is from RefSeq and is a predicted model, not a curated record. The transcript is spliced from 3 exons. NCBI's taxonomy places the organism in Eukaryota, Metazoa, Chordata, Actinopteri, Cypriniformes, Cyprinidae.
UGUAUUUCAGUACACCCUCUCAAUGGUCUGUGCCAUCGACUUCGAUUUCCAAGAGGUUGACAUGCCCAUGAUUAGAAAAUGGUGGUGCCUUAUGCUAAUGGAACGAUUUCAAAUUGACGGCUAUGGGCGCAGGUUUGCCUUCUGGACAGACGAGGCAAAAUGCUUAUUAGAGGCAAAAACUCAACCUCUGUAUAGGCUAAAAAGAAGUAGAAGCACCACACAAGAUGUCCCACAGCACGUCCAAGCAGUCAGUCCAAGAUCGGACAAGAACUGAAGAAGCACUGGUGGACUGCAUUGUGACUUCAAAGGGAACAGAGCAGCAUUUAGUGGUACUCAAAUGGUCAUUUUUCACCAUUUAAAGAUUAGCAUUCCUAAAUGACUCACCCAGGGCUGUGAUCAUUGUCAACUUCAACAUUGUCAAUUGAUUAUCCAGUAUGCUCUUUAGCUAUAUUUUUAAUGGUUAUGCCAAUUAUUCAUUGAUGGCUUGUGUAUAUAUA